GACGAACGCUGGCGGCGUGCCUAAUACAUGCAAGUAGAACGCUGAAGAGAUAAGCUUGCUCUCUUUGGCUGAGUUGGUGACGGGUGAGUGACGCAUAGAUAAGCAGCUAGGUUGCGGGGGAGAACUAUUGGAAACGAUAGAUAAUAACCCAUAAUAGUAGAUGUUGCAUGACAUUUGCUUAAAAGGUGCAAUGGCAUCACUACCAGAUGGACCUGCGUUGUAUUAGCUAGUUGGUGAGGUAACGGCUCACCAAGGCAACGAUACAUAGCCGACCUGAGAGGGUGAUCGGCCACACUGGGACUGAGACACGGCCCAGACUCCUACGGGAGGCAGCAGUAGGGAAUCUUCGGCAAUGGAGGGAAGUCUGACCGAGCAACGCCGCGGGAGUGAAGAAGGUUUUCGGAUCGUAAAGCUCUGUUGUAAGAGAAGAACGAGUGUGAGAGUGGAAAGUUCACACUGUGACGGUAUCUUACCAGAAAGGGACGGCUAACUACGUG
This 497-nucleotide ribosomal RNA is filed under the name uncultured bacterium. RNAcentral's name for it is "partial 16S ribosomal RNA". It matches the Rfam family "Bacterial small subunit ribosomal RNA", at positions 28 to 507 of the family's 1533-position model. The record is from RNAcentral.